GGGGAUGUAGCUCAGUGGGAGAGCAUCUGCUUUGCAAGCAGGGGGUCGUCGGUUCGAAUCCGAUCAUCUCCA
RNAcentral lists this transfer RNA (72 nucleotides) under Athalassotoga saccharophila. RNAcentral describes it as "tRNA-Ala". It matches the Rfam family "tRNA". Rfam says of the family: Transfer RNA (tRNA) molecules are approximately 80 nucleotides in length. Their secondary structure includes four short double-helical elements and three loops (D, anti-codon, and T loops). Lineage: Bacteria; Thermotogati; Thermotogota; Thermotogae; Mesoaciditogales; Mesoaciditogaceae. The record is from RNAcentral. RNAcentral also lists the same sequence under 7 other names.